This is a long non-coding RNA of Felis catus (domestic cat), 959 nucleotides long. RefSeq lists it as uncharacterized. The transcript is spliced from 3 exons. Lineage: Eukaryota; Metazoa; Chordata; Mammalia; Carnivora; Felidae. The record is from RefSeq and is a predicted model, not a curated record.
GCCUUUGAGUUAUCCUACCUGAGUGACAAGAUUCCACCAACUUCCAGCUGUCAUUGGCUGAGGCUGCUCUCAGGAGUUAAUUCUCAGGCACUCUGGCCUGCCACUUGAGCAGGCAGAGUUUAUACCACAGCUGGAGGAAGCCCUUGGCCUCAGAGUUGCAGUUGCUGGCAUUUGGCAGUAGGAACUUGGAGGCUGGGCCUGCAGGGACAUGUUAGGGAGAUAUGGGAGGGGAACCAGUGGCACGUUCUGUGAGUACCUUUAGAAUUCAAGUCAGGUAUCACCUACUUUGGGAAGCACUCCAUGGCCCCUCAUUUGUUUCUCCCCUCGUGAGUUGAGUGUCUCUCAGCUUUGCUCCCACCCACCCACACGUCACUGUAUUUAACUGUCUGCAUCUCUCCUGCUAAACUCUGAGCCCACUGGAGACAUGGACCCGGUCUUCCAUCACCGUAGCUCUAUGGUACCUAGAAGAAGAAAUGACCCAGAGAGAAUCUGGCACAUGUCAUCCAUCUCCCGUAGCUGCUGAGUGACAUGGAAUAUACAUAAAGCAUCAUCAAAAAGAACAGGAGAAGAGGAAAAGGGAAAAACAGCACCCAGCAAACUUGGAGCCUCAUGCUUUUAAAAGCUUAUUUGAAACCCGUUCAUCCUUCUAGCCAGCCAGCCAUCCAACCAAUAAGAGCACACUUGUUGAAGUAUUUAAUUUGUCCAAGUACCUAGGAGAGGUCCUGUGGGGAUGCAGCCAUGAAUCUGGUAUAACACUAUUGUGGAGGGUGAGUAUCAACUUCCUGGCUCUUGACUAUUUGCUUUAUUUUUGAGGGCACUUCUCGCAUCUUCACUGAAGAUUGUAUACUUUAUUUAGUUCAAUUGUUUUAUUUGUAAUCUGUUUUUGUUUGUUUGUUUGUUCUUUUGAGGGAUGGAAAGAUCAUGUGUUUGGGCUGAAAAGGACCAGAUUAUAAUAGAGU